AUAACAUACACAAGAAGGACUUCGCUUCGAGACGACCAAUAUACGCCUCCUAUCCUGUAACUGUCCGCGCCGCCCCCUAAAACCUGGAACAUCUUUUUCAACAAUAAAACGGCUGGUCUUUCAAAAGGUAAUCGAACGGUUGUUAAUGAACCAUUCCCUUGCCGAGUAAAAAAACUGAUCCCAACUCGCAAAAAGUUGGAGGUAAUUACUGCAUAGGUUUCUUUAUGUAUUAGCCAGAGCUGGUACAAACACUACUUUCUUCUUUUUUCACAGUAGACUUAAGAUACUAAUUAUUCGCUACUAAUUAUCGGUCGACAUAAAUUUUAUUUCGCUGUGUGGCAGCAAAGAAUAUAGCCACAUGAUGAUGAAAUAUUAUUGUUUAUUUUUUUAGAGUUAAUUUUUUGUGUCACCUGAUAGCGAUGGUUACUCAUAGUAGGGAAUAAUAUCCACAAACCCUCGUUGGAGUAGCGUGGUAGAUUAAGUUCUGAUCCAAACGCAACAAGGCAACGAUUUAGGUUGAUGGUCUUUAUAAGUUUUCCCGACUCUAUUUACUUUAUAAUAUUUUAAAAUGUAAGUAGAACUUGUUACAUUUUUAUAAUUCCAACGUUUCUUGAUUAAAGUGUUUGUAUGUAUUGUGGUUCAUUUAUGCUUCAUGAUUUUUAUCGUCAUUAUCUAUUAUAAUACGUAUGUUUUAAAUUAUGAAUGAAUAUCGCUUAGUAAACUGAUAUUAUGAUUAUUAAUUAAGGUUCUUCCUUAUUAUUGUUUACCAACAGACCAAUAUACGCCCCCUAUCCUGUAGCUGUCCGCGCCGCCCCCUAAAACCUGGGACAGCUUUUUCAACAAUAAAACGGUUGUUCAUAAAACAUUCCGUUGCCGACUAAAGAGCUUGAUCCCAGCUCGCACAAAGUUGGAGGUAAUUACUGAUUACGUUUUAUUUUAUUCAAUAUCGAGAAUACAAAUGAGGAAGUAAACUAUGUUAUUAAAACUUAUAAUGCAUUUAUUAUACUUUGCUAGGUCACAUUAUUCUGUACCUAAUAACAUGGAGUAGUGUUGAUUGCUACAUUGAUCAUUUUGCACACAAUUGUUGCCAUUAGUAGCUUAUAGCAAAAAAAAAAAAAUUUAACGACUUCUAAUUUAAUUUCAGGUCAAUAAUAUCUAUUUAUUCAACGAGUACAUUGGUCUUAGUCCGUCUAUUGCAGACAAUUUAGACAGUGUCAGACAGACACUGUGUCGCCUAGGACACUCUUC
This 1248-nucleotide unclassified non-coding RNA is filed under the name Melitaea cinxia (Glanville fritillary). RNAcentral describes it as "misc RNA ENSMCXG00005007715.1". The record is from RNAcentral. Lineage: Eukaryota; Metazoa; Arthropoda; Insecta; Lepidoptera; Nymphalidae.